Molecule: ribosomal RNA, 1371 nt
Filed under: uncultured bacterium
Lineage: Bacteria
Description: bacterial SSU rRNA
Rfam family: Bacterial small subunit ribosomal RNA
Source: RNAcentral
GAUGAACGCUGGCGGCGUGCCUAAUACAUGCAAGUCGAGCGAACGGACGAGAAGCUUGCUUCUCUGAUGUUAGCGGCGGACGGGUGAGUAACACGUGGAUAACCUACCUAUAAGACUGGGAUAACUUCGGGAAACCGGAGCUAAUACCGGAUGAUAUUUUGAACCGCAUGGUUCAAAAGUGAAAGACGGUCUUGCUGUCACUUAUAGAUGGAUCCGCGCUGCAUUAGCUAGUUGGUAAGGUAACGGCUUACCAAGGCAACGAUGCAUAGCCGACCUGAGAGGGUGAUCGGCCACACUGGAACUGAGACACGGUCCAGACUCCUACGGAGGCAGCAGUAGGGAAUCUUCCGCAAUGGGCGAAAGCCUGACGGAGCAACGCCGCGUGAGUGAUGAAGGUCUUCGGAUCGUAAAACUCUGUUAUUAGGGAAGAACAUAUGUGUAAGUAACUGUGCACAUCUUGACGGUACCUAAUCAGAAAGCCACGGCUAACUACGUGCCAGCAGCCGCGGUAAUACGUAGGUGGCAAGCGUUAUCCGGAAUUAUUGGGCGUAAAGCGCGCGUAGGCGGUUUUUUAAGUCUGAUGUGAAAGCCCACGGCUCAACCGUGGAGGGUCAUUGGAAACUGGAAAACUUGAGUGCAGAAGAGGAAAGUGGAAUUCCAUGUGUAGCGGUGAAAUGCGCAGAGAUAUGGAGGAACACCAGUGGCGAAGGCGACUUUCUGGUCUGUAACUGACGCUGAUGUGCGAAAGCGUGGGGAUCAAACAGGAUUAGAUACCCUGGUAGUCCACGCCGUAAACGAUGAGUGCUAAGUGUUAGGGGGUUUCCGCCCCUUAGUGCUGCAGCUAACGCAUUAAGCACUCCGCCUGGGGAGUACGACCGCAAGGUUGAAACUCAAAGGAAUUGACGGGGACCCGCACAAGCGGUGGAGCAUGUGGUUUAAUUCGAAGCAACGCGAAGAACCUUACCAAAUCUUGACAUCCUUUGACAACUCUAGAGAUAGAGCCUUCCCCUUCGGGGGACAAAGUGACAGGUGGUGCAUGGUUGUCGUCAGCUCGUGUCGUGAGAUGUUGGGUUAAGUCCCGCAACGAGCGCAACCCUUAAGCUUAGUUGCCAUCAUUAAGUUGGGCACUCUAAGUUGACUGCCGGUGACAAACCGGAGGAAGGUGGGGAUGACGUCAAAUCAUCAUGCCCCUUAUGAUUUGGGCUACACACGUGCUACAAUGGACAAUACAAAGGGCAGCGAAACCGCGAGGUCAAGCAAAUCCCAUAAAGUUGUUCUCAGUUCGGAUUGUAGUCUGCAACUCGACUACAUGAAGCUGGAAUCGCUAGUAAUCGUAGAUCAGCAUGCUACGGUGAAUACGUUCCCGGGUCU